GGGACAACAGCCAGAAAUGGCUGCUAAUACCGCAUAAGCCUGCUGUGCCGCAUGGCACAGCAGGGAAAACCACGGUGGUACAGGAUGGGCCCGCGUCUGAUUAGUUAGUUGGCAGGGUAACGGCCUACCAAGACAACGAUCAGUAGCCGGCUUGAGAGAGUGGACGGCCACAUUGGGACUGAGACACGGCCCAGACUCCUGCGGGAGGCAGCAGUGGGGAAUAUUGCACAAUGGGGGGAACCCUGAUGCAGCAAUGCCGCGUGGGUGAAGAAGCACUCCGGUGUGUAAAGCCCUGUCAGCAGGGAAGAAAAUGACAGUACCUGGACAAGAAGCCCCGGCUAACUACGUGCCAGCAGCCGCGGUAAUACGUAGGGGGCAAGCGUUAUCCGGAUUUACUGGGUGUAAAGGGAGCGCAGGCGGCGUGGCAAGUCAGAUGUGAAAACCCGGGGCCCAACCCCGGGAGUGCAUUUGAAACUGCCAUGCUGGAGUGCCGGAGAGGUAAGCGGAAUUCCUAGUGUAGCGGUGAAAUGCGUAGAUAUUAGGAGGAACACCAGUGGCGGAGGCGGCUUACUGGACGGUAACUGACGCUGAGGCUCGAAAGCGUGGGGAGCAAACAGGAUUAGAUACCCUGGUAGUCCACGCCGUAAAC
RNAcentral lists this ribosomal RNA (649 nucleotides) under uncultured bacterium. RNAcentral's name for it is "bacterial SSU rRNA". It matches the Rfam family "Bacterial small subunit ribosomal RNA", at positions 140 to 807 of the family's 1533-position model. The record is from RNAcentral.